RNAcentral lists this long non-coding RNA (1043 nucleotides) under Capra hircus (goat). RNAcentral describes it as "lncRNA (ENSCHIG00000007101.1)". The record is from RNAcentral. Lineage: Eukaryota; Metazoa; Chordata; Mammalia; Artiodactyla; Bovidae.
CUCACAUGGGUCAUAUUCCGUGUUCAAAGUUACUGUGUUACCAAGGUGGAGAAAACAAAAAAUGGAUCACUGUACUUGGAAAAGUGGCAUGCACUGACAAGACCUAUAAUGAAGUUGCAGCAUGUUCCAUAGACAAAUACAGAAUCUGACUUCUAUGAGGUGAAUUUGUCAAAAAAAAGGCAGAUUCUUCACUGUUUGAGCCACCAGGGAAGCCCUUACAAUGUUUAAUGAACUAUUAAUUGAAAUAUCGUUACUUGGUCAUAGAGAAAUACAAAUGUAUUUUUCUUUCUCACUGCAUUCCUUCAAAUUAAGAAAAAAUAUAACAGGUGAUGAUUGCUUGGACUCCAGAUAGCUUCAGAUUAUAUACCAUAAGAAGUAUUUGAAAUGCAUACAGUGUAAUAGCAUUCUUUUUAUAUAUUCAUGUCUGUCCAAAAGUUUCCAUUUGAAAGAAAAUAUUAUCAACCUAUUGCUGCUGCUUCAUACGUGGUUCACCCAUUCAUCAUCACUAACAUACUAUGGGAUGCAGAGUGACUCUGAAAUCUUUCCCCAAACCUAUGUUUUGAGAAAUCUGACAGAUUAUUUUGACUCCCAGGGAUUGAAACUUUGAUGAGGAGAAGAAUUCCUCACAAUAUCAGCAGACACACACAACACACACACUUGUGUGUACAUAUGCACACUAUUCAUAUGUAAGUAAAACUUUGGGUUAAAUACUGAAUCUGUAUAUUCUACCUGUGUGCCCAUGAAUCACUUGCAUAAAAACUUUCUGAGCCUUGAUGUAUUUGUUUUCAAAUGUCUGGAGAUAAUUAUAUCGGCCUCAGAAGAUCUUUGGAAGGACUUAAUGUCUUUCUAAACAUUACUUCAUUAACAGAAUGCCUGAGUCACAGUAAGUGCUCAAUAAAUUAGUAGUAGUUGUUUGCAAAUUGAGUAAAGAAAAUAAAUGUUAACUCCAAAAUCACUUCACUGUAACACCUAAAGAGAAUAACAAUUUUGAGCAGAGAUUAUAGUUUAUUGCUUCAUCAGUAAAAGUAUACUUUCAAAACUAC